GACGAACGCUGGCGGCGUGCUUAACACAUGCAAGUCGAACGGAAAGGCCCUGCUUUUGUGGGGUGCUCGAGUGGCGAACGGGUGAGUAACACGUGAGUAACCUGCCCUUGACUUUGGGAUAACUUCAGGAAACUGGGGCUAAUACCGGAUAGGAGCUCCUGCUGCAUGGUGGGGGUUGGAAAGUUUCGGCGGUUGGGGAUGGACUCGCGGCUUAUCAGCUUGUUGGUGGAGUAGUGGCUUACCAAGGCUUUGACGGGUAGCCGGCCUGAGAGGGUGACCGGCCACAUGGGGACUGAGAGACGGCCCAGAGUCCUACGGUGGGCAGCAGGGGGGAAUAUGGCACAAGGGGCGGAAGCCUGAGGCAGCAACGCCGCGUGCGGAAUGACGGCCUUCGGGUAGUAAACCGCUUUCGCCUGUGACGAAGGGUGAGUGACGGUAAUGGAUAAAGAAGCACCGGCUAACUACGUG
This 468-nucleotide ribosomal RNA is filed under the name uncultured bacterium. RNAcentral describes it as "partial 16S ribosomal RNA". It matches the Rfam family "Bacterial small subunit ribosomal RNA", at positions 28 to 507 of the family's 1533-position model. The record is from RNAcentral.